GAUUUCUGGCUGACCGUCCUGGCCCGCUUCUUUUACGGGAGUGAGUGCCGGUACGAGUUUGCCAUCCUUCUAGAAAGCCGCGCCUACCGUUCAUUCGUGCGGGCGUGUGCGGUCUAGAUCUUUUACUUUGAAAAAAUUAGAGUGUUUAAAGCAGGCUUACGCUAUGAAUACAUUAGCAUGGAAUAAUAAUAUAGGACUUUGAUUCUAUUUUGUUGGUUUCUAGGAUUGAAGUAAUGAUUGAUAGGGAUAGUUGGGGGUGCUAGUAUUCCGCGGCCAGAGGUGAAAUUCUUGGAUUCGCGGAAGACUAACUACUGCGAAAGCAUU
Molecule: ribosomal RNA, 324 nt
Filed under: uncultured Allantion
Lineage: Eukaryota; Cercozoa; Glissomonadida
Description: SSU rRNA
Rfam family: Eukaryotic small subunit ribosomal RNA (bases 109-324)
Source: RNAcentral